CUUAGAUCAAGCCAGCCGCAUGACUAAACUGCUCACACCCGAGGGAUUGUUUCUGCGUGUUUGUCUGACUCUGCUGUAGUGAAGGAAACAGGUGCUGAAAAAGGGUCUCGCUAAGUUGUUAAAUUGCUUACCCUGGGCUCAAACUUGUGAUCCUCCUACUUCAGCCUUCCAGGGUGCUGGGAUGACAGCUUGAGGACAAUCCAAGAUGAAGAAAAAUAAGAGCUGACAAAGAAAGAAAAAAACAGUUGUUGGUGCCCUUGCUGAUGAAUUCUAUAAACGACACUCAUGGACACUGAUGAGAAUCUGAUAGUCCUGUGGAGAGCAAAGAGUUGAUCCUGAACCAGGUCAGUGGCCAUAACACACAGGGGAGAACAGAACACCAGUCAGCUGAGCUCUCUGUCUUUCCUAAACUUUUCAUUAUCACAGGCAAGUUCACCUUACAGCUCAACUGGUGUGCAACAAUUUUCUCAUAUGUCAGGUGAAAUGAGAAGUCAAAUGUGCCCUGAAAUCUAAAUGCUAGCUGAUAAAAAUGAAAGUUCUUUAAUGAUGUUUCUCAAAAAAUCACCUACUUACCUCUACAGAUGGGGCAGCAAACACUAGUUAGGUUUACAAAUAGUAACACUUGAAGUGUUUCUAUACAAAAAUCCCCUUAGCUGGAGAACAUGGAGAAAGAUCUUUACUGAGAAGAAAGACUUGCACUUGGGUUUCAUUGUCAAAGUCGGAAGUGGCCAUUGGCACACACAGAGACACAAGGCAGAUUCAUGCAUGCAAUGGAAGAGCACUGAGGACAUUUGAACAAGUGUAAUGAUCAAUGCCAUUAUCAUUCCACAUUGCUGUCAGUAUUGCUGGUUGCUUCAGAUGGGUGUUGAUCUGCAUUAAAAUUUACGCUAUUGGAAGGUCUGGGUAUUUGUGACUUUCCACAUAUAGCCAUUUAUUUUGCUAAAUGCCAGACUCUGUCAUAGUGGAAUUCAUUUCCCCAAACUGCUUGGUCCAUAACUUUCAUUCACUCUGGUCACAUCCUUCAAAAUUUGGGACAAGGACUGACAAGGAUUCAACUUGAGCCAAACCAGUAUAAGUGGUUUUGAUUUUGAAUUAAAAGAGGAAUGGCUUGGAAUGGACAUAAAGGAGGACUUCCGGGUAAACAUCUCUCUCUGAAUUAGGAGCUCAGUGCCCUGCUGAUCUAGGCCAGCACCAGAUCCCAUCUUGUCCAGAGCUACCCUCAGUGUGUGACCCUCAUGUGACUGCUGAGCUUGGGCUGCCCCUGUGUUCACCUCCUGCUGGCUCCUCACAUCCCCUUGUGCACACUUGCCCCCCAUUAACUCCAAAGGCACCAAUUAAUAAUGUAACCCUGGGAAGCAAGAAGGAGAAAGGGUAAGUGCCUCUCAUACAGCCAUGUUCUAUACUCUUUCUCCCCCUCUGCUUUCUCUGGAGUUCCUUUUCUGCCUUUCCAGCUCUGGUGCACUCAUUUCCCAUGCCCAGUUCCCCUCAGGAAAGCAAAGCCAGCUGAGCCACAUUAGACCUGCAGUCUCUGAGGCCAGCCACCUGCCAUUGUGCCUCUAGGGUUGGAGGUGCAGGGUGGGCCCCAGGUGUCCCUAGCACAAGGGGAGUCCCAAGAUAUGAGGUUGAGGUAGGGAUGCCCUGUACCUCUUUCCUGCCCUGAACUCUGCAGCAGAUCAACAGCACCAUGAGGCCCCUCCAUCCAGUGAGGAAACGUCUGUUUAGGCCUCCACUGACCUGAAGGCAGAAGGUGGCCAUGGGGACUCGGUUCCCCCCCCAAAGCCUACAGGGUUUUCUGACUGACUACCACGGAGAGUUAAAUAAAUAACUUUACUGAGAACCCAAGCAUCAGGGGGCAGGACUCUUUCCCUGGAGAUAGAAGUUCUUGUUAAAAUCAAGAACAAAGGGAGCAAGGACAAGCCAAAGCAAUGGCAGCAGUGUAUAAAGAAAAUACUUGGAACGAGAAGACACAGUUCCUGGUUUCAGCUGGCCUCAGAUGGGCUGCACUGGCCUGGAGCAACUCACUCAGUGCUCUGAACCUCUGCUUCUGCUGUAAAAAGGGAGCGGGCCUUCUCACCUCACAGGGUCACUGUGAGGCUAAAUGGAGGCUCUGCGUAGGAUAAGGUAUUAAGGGGAAACGGUUCUGCAGUGAAAUGGACAAGCGGCCUGCGUUCCCCUUCACCUAGGGUACAGUGAGAGCUGUUUUCCCCAGGCAGGCGCUCAUGGUUCCUGACAUGUCGGUACUUGUGGCAUGUUUGCUCGUGUGUCAGGAGAAAGCUCCUUUUAUUAUGAGAUUGGAAAAUCACUGCCCUGAUAAUUAUUGCCCAUUACAGCUAGGAGAAUAGGAGCCCUGGUAGGUCAGAAUUCUCCUUCACAUAGCCCCAAGGGCUGGAAGUUCAGGGACAGAUGAGCAGAGGAGGGCAGAACUGGGCUUGAAUUUGGGGUCCUGGCCCAUCUGCAAGAUUCUCCAAGCAACAGCAUGUUUUCCUGUGGCAGUGUGGCUGUCUGGGUCAUAGCGUCCACUCCCUGCCUCACUCCCUUUCUCCCUUACCUGUGCCACUCUGGUAUUACACCUCCCC
Heterocephalus glaber (naked mole-rat) is the source of this 2576-nucleotide long non-coding RNA. The record is from Ensembl. NCBI's taxonomy places the organism in Eukaryota, Metazoa, Chordata, Mammalia, Rodentia, Bathyergidae.